Molecule: ribosomal RNA, 2933 nt
Filed under: Escherichia coli
Lineage: Bacteria; Pseudomonadati; Pseudomonadota; Gammaproteobacteria; Enterobacterales; Enterobacteriaceae
Also listed under: 1 other name
Description: bacterial LSU rRNA
Rfam family: Bacterial large subunit ribosomal RNA
Source: RNAcentral
GGGUUGUGAGGUUAAGCGACUAAGCGUACACGGUGGAUGCCCUGGCAGUCAGAGGCGAUGAAGGACGUGCUAAUCUGCGAUAAGCGUCGGUAAGGUGAUAUGAACCGUUAUAACCGGCGAUUUCCGAAUGGGGAAACCCAGUGUGAUUCGUCACACUAUCAUUAACUGAAUCCAUAGGUUAAUGAGGCGAACCGGGGGAACUGAAACAUCUAAGUACCCCGAGGAAAAGAAAUCAACCGAGAUUCCCCCAGUAGCGGCGAGCGAACGGGGAGCAGCCCAGAGCCUGAAUCAGUGUGUGUGUUAGUGGAAGCGUCUGGAAAGGCGUGCGAUACAGGGUGACAGCCCCGUACACAAAAAUGCACAUGCUGUGAGCUCGAUGAGUAGGGCGGGACACGUGGUAUCCUGUCUGAAUAUGGGGGGACCAUCCUCCAAGGCUAAAUACUCCUGACUGACCGAUAGUGAACCAGUACCGUGAGGGAAAGGCGAAAAGAACCCCGGCGAGGGGAGUGAAAAAGAACCUGAAACCGUGUACGUACAAGCAGUGGGAGCACAGAGCAAUCUGUGUGACUGCGUACCUUUUGUAUAAUGGGUCAGCGACUUAUAUUCUGUAGCAAGGUUAACCGAAUAGGGGAGCCGAAGGGAAACCGAGUCUUAACUGGGCGUUAAGUUGCAGGGUAUAGACCCGAAACCCGGUGAUCUAGCCAUGGGCAGGUUGAAGGUUGGGUAACACUAACUGGAGGACCGAACCGACUAAUGUUGAAAAAUUAGCGGAUGACUUGUGGCUGGGGGUGAAAGGCCAAUCAAACCGGGAGAUAGCUGGUUCUCCCCGAAAGCUAUUUAGGUAGCGCCUCGUGAAUUCAUCUCCGGGGGUAGAGCACUGUUUCGGCAAGGGGGUCAUCCCGACUUACCAACCCGAUGCAAACUGCGAAUACCGGAGAAUGUUAUCACGGGAGACACACGGCGGGUGCUAACGUCCGUCGUGAAGAGGGAAACAACCCAGACCGCCAGCUAAGGUCCCAAAGUCAUGGUUAAGUGGGAAACGAUGUGGGAAGGCCCAGACAGCCAGGAUGUUGGCUUAGAAGCAGCCAUCAUUUAAAGAAAGCGUAAUAGCUCACUGGUCGAGUCGGCCUGCGCGGAAGAUGUAACGGGGCUAAACCAUGCACCGAAGCUGCGGCAGCGACGCUUAUGCGUUGUUGGGUAGGGGAGCGUUCUGUAAGCCUGCGAAGGUGUGCUGUGAGGCAUGCUGGAGGUAUCAGAAGUGCGAAUGCUGACAUAAGUAACGAUAAAGCGGGUGAAAAGCCCGCUCGCCGGAAGACCAAGGGUUCCUGUCCAACGUUAAUCGGGGCAGGGUGAGUCGACCCCUAAGGCGAGGCCGAAAGGCGUAGUCGAUGGGAAACAGGUUAAUAUUCCUGUACUUGGUGUUACUGCGAAGGGGGGACGGAGAAGGCUAUGUUGGCCGGGCGACGGUUGUCCCGGUUUAAGCGUGUAGGCUGGUUUUCCAGGCAAAUCCGGAAAAUCAAGGCUGAGGCGUGAUGACGAGGCACUACGGUGCUGAAGCAACAAAUGCCCUGCUUCCAGGAAAAGCCUCUAAGCAUCAGGUAACAUCAAAUCGUACCCCAAACCGACACAGGUGGUCAGGUAGAGAAUACCAAGGCGCUUGAGAGAACUCGGGUGAAGGAACUAGGCAAAAUGGUGCCGUAACUUCGGGAGAAGGCACGCUGAUAUGUAGGUGAAGUCCCUCGCGGAUGGAGCUGAAAUCAGUCGAAGAUACCAGCUGGCUGCAACUGUUUAUUAAAAACACAGCACUGUGCAAACACGAAAGUGGACGUAUACGGUGUGACGCCUGCCCGGUGCCGGAAGGUUAAUUGAUGGGGUUAGCGCAAGCGAAGCUCUUGAUCGAAGCCCCGGUAAACGGCGGCCGUAACUAUAACGGUCCUAAGGUAGCGAAAUUCCUUGUCGGGUAAGUUCCGACCUGCACGAAUGGCGUAAUGAUGGCCAGGCUGUCUCCACCCGAGACUCAGUGAAAUUGAACUCGCUGUGAAGAUGCAGUGUACCCGCGGCAAGACGGAAAGACCCCGUGAACCUUUACUAUAGCUUGACACUGAACAUUGAGCCUUGAUGUGUAGGAUAGGUGGGAGGCUUUGAAGUGUGGACGCCAGUCUGCAUGGAGCCGACCUUGAAAUACCACCCUUUAAUGUUUGAUGUUCUAACGUUGACCCGUAAUCCGGGUUGCGGACAGUGUCUGGUGGGUAGUUUGACUGGGGCGGUCUCCUCCUAAAGAGUAACGGAGGAGCACGAAGGUUGGCUAAUCCUGGUCGGACAUCAGGAGGUUAGUGCAAUGGCAUAAGCCAGCUUGACUGCGAGCGUGACGGCGCGAGCAGGUGCGAAAGCAGGUCAUAGUGAUCCGGUGGUUCUGAAUGGAAGGGCCAUCGCUCAACGGAUAAAAGGUACUCCGGGGAUAACAGGCUGAUACCGCCCAAGAGUUCAUAUCGACGGCGGUGUUUGGCACCUCGAUGUCGGCUCAUCACAUCCUGGGGCUGAAGUAGGUCCCAAGGGUAUGGCUGUUCGCCAUUUAAAGUGGUACGCGAGCUGGGUUUAGAACGUCGUGAGACAGUUCGGUCCCUAUCUGCCGUGGGCGCUGGAGAACUGAGGGGGGCUGCUCCUAGUACGAGAGGACCGGAGUGGACGCAUCACUGGUGUUCGGGUUGUCAUGCCAAUGGCACUGCCCGGUAGCUAAAUGCGGAAGAGAUAAGUGCUGAAAGCAUCUAAGCACGAAACUUGCCCCGAGAUGAGUUCUCCCUGACUCCUUGAGAGUCCUGAAGGAACGUUGAAGACGACGACGUUGAUAGGCCGGGUGUGUAAGCGCAGCGAUGCGUUGAGCUAACCGGUACUAAUGAACCGUGAGGCUUAACCUUACAACGCCGAAGGUGUUU